GAUGAGCGCUGGCGGCGUGCCUAAUACAUGCAAGUCGAGCGAACAGACGAGGAGCUUGCUCCUCUGACGUUAGCGGCGGACGGGUGAGUAACACGUGGAUAACCUACCUAUAAGACUGGGAUAACUUCGGGAAACCGGAGCUAAUACCGGAUAAUAUAUUGAACCGCAUGGUUCAAUAGUGAAAGACGGUUUUGCUGUCACUUAUAGAUGGAUCCGCGCCGCAUUAGCUAGUUGGUAAGGUAACGGCUUACCAAGGCAACGAUGCGUAGCCGACCUGAGAGGGUGAUCGGCCACACUGGAACUGAGACACGGUCCAGACUCCUACGGGAGGCAGCAGUAGGGAAUCUUCCGCAAUGGGCGAAAGCCUGACGGAGCAACGCCGCGUGAGUGAUGAAGGUCUUCGGAUCGUAAAACUCUGUUAUUAGGGAGGAACAAAUGUGUAAGUAACUAUGCACGUCUUGACGGUACCUAAUCAGAAAGCCACGGCUAACUACGUG
This 497-nucleotide ribosomal RNA is filed under the name uncultured bacterium. Its description in RNAcentral is "partial 16S ribosomal RNA". It matches the Rfam family "Bacterial small subunit ribosomal RNA", at positions 28 to 507 of the family's 1533-position model. The record is from RNAcentral.